This 516-nucleotide unclassified non-coding RNA is filed under the name uncultured Entrophospora. RNAcentral's name for it is "SSU rRNA". It matches the Rfam family "Eukaryotic small subunit ribosomal RNA", at positions 569 to 1082 of the family's 1831-position model. The record is from RNAcentral. Lineage: Eukaryota; Fungi; Glomeromycota; Glomeromycetes; Entrophosporales; Entrophosporaceae.
AGCAGCCGCGGUAAUUCCAGCUCCAAUAGCGUAUAUUAAAGUUGUUGCAGUUAAAAAGCUCGUAGUUGAAUUUCGGGAUUGACGUGAUGGUCGUGCCUUACGGGGUAUGAACUGUUGCAGUCAAUUUCUCACCUUCUGGAGAAAUAUGAUGUCCUUAAUUGGGUGUCAUAUGGAACCAGAACUUUUACCUUGAAAAAUUAGAGUGUUUAAAGCAGGCUUAUUGCUCGAAUACAUUAGCAUGGAAUAAUAAAAUAGGACGGCAUGGUUCUAUUUUGUUGGUUUCUAGGAUCACCGUAAUGAUUAAUAGGGAUAGUUGGGGGCAUUAGUAUUCAAUUGUCAGAGGUGAAAUUCUUGGAUUUAUUGAAGACUAACUACUGCGAAAGCAUUUGCCAAGGAUGUUUUCAUUAAUCAAGAACGAAAGUUAGGGGAUCGAAGACGAUCAGAUACCGUCGUAGUCUUAACCAUAAACUAUGCCGACUAGGAAUCAGACGAUGUUAAUUUUUAAUGACUCGUUUC